This 485-nucleotide ribosomal RNA is filed under the name uncultured bacterium. Its description in RNAcentral is "bacterial SSU rRNA". It matches the Rfam family "Bacterial small subunit ribosomal RNA", at positions 1 to 532 of the family's 1533-position model. The record is from RNAcentral.
AUUAGAGUUUGAUCAUGGCUCAGRAUGAACGCUGGCGGCGUGGAUAAGGCAUGCAAGUCAAACGGCCCGCAAGGGCAGUGGCGAACGAGGUAGUAACGCGUAGGUACGCACCCCAUAGUCAGGAAUAACUAAUCGAAAGAUUAGCUAAUACUUGAUAGUCUCUUCGGAGUAAAGAUUUAUCGCUAUGGGAGCGGCUUGCGUAGUAUCAGCUAGUUGGUAAGGUAAUGGCUUACCAAGGCUAUGACGCUUAGGGGGAGUGAGAGCUUGGCCCCCACCGAUGGUACUGAGAGACGGACCAUACACCUACGGGUGGCCGCAGUCGAGAAUCUUCCGCAAUGGACGAAAGUCUGACGGAGCGACGCCGCGUGAUGGAUGAAGACCCUCUGGGUCGUAAACAUCUUUUAUGAGSKASWAAGUUUAUUGAUAGUASCUCAUGAAUAACGGGGUUGCUAAACUCGUGCCAGCCGCCGCGGUAAUACAAUCGG